GGGGUGUGGAAUUCCCGGAGUAGCGGUAAAAUGCGCAGAUAUCGGGAGGAACACCGGUGGCGAAAGCGGCACCCUGGGGUGCGCCUGACGCUGAGAGACGACAGCUAGGGGAGCGAACAGGAUUAGAGACCCUGGUAGUCCUAGCCGUAAACGAUGGAUGCUAGGUGUAGGAGUGAAGAGCUUCUGUGCCGCAGCGAACGCGAUAAGCAACCCGCCUGGGGAGUACGGCCGCAAGGUUAAAACUCAAACGAAUUGACGGGGACCCGCACAAGCAGCGGAGCGUGUGGUUUAAUUCGAUGCUACACGAAGAACCUUACCUGGGAUUGACAUAUGGGUGGUAGUGAUCCGAAAGGAGAGCGACCCUUCGGGGAGCCUAUACAGGUGCUGCAUGGCUGUCGUCAGCUCGUGCCGUGAGGUGUCGGGUUAAGUCCCGUAACGAGCGCAACCCUUGUCCUUAGUUACAAGUGUCUAAGGGGACUGCCGGCGGGAAGCCGGAGGAAGGUGGGGAUGACGUCAAGUCAGCAUGGCCCUUAUAUCCAGGGCGACACACACGCUACAAUGGUCGGUACAGAGGGCAGCGAAGCCGCGAGGUGGAGCGAAACCCAGAAAGCCGGUCGUGGUUCGGAUUGCAGGGUGCAACUCGCCUGCAUGAAGUUGG
RNAcentral lists this ribosomal RNA (658 nucleotides) under uncultured organism. RNAcentral describes it as "bacterial SSU rRNA". It matches the Rfam family "Bacterial small subunit ribosomal RNA", at positions 656 to 1329 of the family's 1533-position model. The record is from RNAcentral.